Long non-coding RNA from Rhineura floridana, 1009 nucleotides. RefSeq lists it as uncharacterized. NCBI's taxonomy places the organism in Eukaryota, Metazoa, Chordata, Lepidosauria, Squamata, Rhineuridae. The transcript has 3 exons. The record is from RefSeq and is a predicted model, not a curated record.
ACAUAGAGAGCUAGAGACGCUCUAAACCUCUCCUUAGCUUUCUAUGAUCACGCAAGAGCGGUCCUGAGCCACCCAUAAAGAGGCAGGAGGGCGCUCUAGGCUUCUCGGCGGUUUUCUAUGGAGGCUGGAAUGUCUUCAUGUUGGGAGAUCUAAAACGCGGGAAAAUUCAAAAAAGUAGCCUAGAGGGCGGGUGUGGGCAAGUCCUCCCAGGCCACUCCACCCAGACCCGGACACACCUUGGCUGGACUGGUCCGCGUCACGCAAGUCUCCACGCAGACGACCACGCUGCCCCAGUCUACCCAGACAACAAGUCUGGAGGAUCUUAUGGCCAGGAUUGAAAUCUUGGACGGCAAAAAUACCGCCCUAGGUCAGCAGUUUGAGGAGCACAAAAAGUCCACGCAGGACACCAUCAGAAAGAUGGAGACUUUGUGGAUUCUGCACCACAGACUGCAGGCCGUGGAGGCCGGACAACAUGCUUCCGCCCAGUUCCCCCGGCAGGCUUCAGAAUAGCAAUAGCGUGUCAUUUGUAACCCAUUCUGUCUAUCCCAGUUUGGCACCCCUUCCACCGUCCCCCUCUGCUGUGAUACUGGUUUUGUGUUCUUUGUUUGUUAACAGUUAAAAAAAGGUUAUAAACCCUUGCUCAGUUCCCAUGUCAUGUAUUCAGAGUUGCCUUAUUGAUCGGAAAGACAUGCACACAGCGUAAGACCCCUCCUACAGUCCCCAUUGCAUAUUCUAAAGGCUGUCCAGUUGCUGAGGAACAUUUCGCCCAAAAUUGGGACCCCUUGCACAGUCCCCAAUUCAUCUUUAAACUGUUGUCUUGUUGAUUGUGAACACCUAUCAACAGUCUAGGACCCCUCCCACAGUACCCAUUGAUUUUUCUGGAGGCUGUCUGGUUGCUGCAGAACAUUUCCCAAAACGUUGGGACCCCUUCUACAGUUGCAACUUGUGCGCUGUUGUGGGUACACGGUAUAACCUUCCCCACGCAUCUCGCUGUGUGUAUGCCAGGUAA